CAAAAUGUAGCUUAAUCAAAGCACCUGACUUACACUCAGGAGAUUUCAUAUUAUAUGACCAUUUUGA
Molecule: transfer RNA, 67 nt
Filed under: Crocidura shantungensis (Asian lesser white-toothed shrew)
Lineage: Eukaryota; Metazoa; Chordata; Mammalia; Eulipotyphla; Soricidae
Also listed under: 1 other name
Description: tRNA-Val
Rfam family: tRNA
About the family: Transfer RNA (tRNA) molecules are approximately 80 nucleotides in length.
Source: RNAcentral